This 478-nucleotide ribosomal RNA is filed under the name uncultured bacterium. Its description in RNAcentral is "partial 16S ribosomal RNA". It matches the Rfam family "Bacterial small subunit ribosomal RNA", at positions 28 to 523 of the family's 1533-position model. The record is from RNAcentral.
GACGAACGCUGGCGGCGUGCUUAACACAUGCAAGUCGAACGGUAAGGCCCUUCGGGGUACACGAGUGGCGAACGGGUGAGUAACACGUGGGUGAUCUGCCCUGCACUUCGGGAUAAGCCUGGGAAAUUGGGUCUAAUACCGGAUAGGACCCUGGGAUGCAUGUCCUGGGGUGGAAAGCUUUUGCGGUGUGGGAUGGGCCCGCGGCCUAUCAGCUUGUUGGUGGGGUGAUGGCCUACCAAGGCGACGACGGGUAGCCGGCCUGGGAGGGUGACCGGCCACACUGGGACGGAGGUACGGCCCAGACGCCUACGGGAGGCAGCAGUGGGGAAUAUUGCACAAUGGGCGCAAGCCUGAUGCAGCGACGCCGCGUGAGGGAUGGCGGCCUUCGGGUUGUAAACCUCUUUCAGCACCGACGAAGCGCAAGUGACGGUAGGUGCAGAAGAAGGACCGGCCAACUACGUGCCAGCCGCCGCCGUAA